AACGAACGCUGGCGGCAUGCCUAACACAUGCAAGUCGAACGAGACCUUCGGGUCUAGUGGCGCACGGGUGCGUAACGCGUGGGAACCUGCCCUUAGGUUCGGAAUAACUCCCCGAAAGGGGUGCUAAUACCGGAUAAUGUCUUCGGACCAAAGAUUUAUCGCCUUUGGAUGGGCCCGCGUUGGAUUAGCUAGUUGGUAGGGUAAAAGCCUACCAAGGCGACGAUCCAUAGCUGGUCUGAGAGGAUGAUCAGCCACACUGGGACUGAGACACGGCCCAGACUCCUACGCAUGGCAGCAGUGGAGAAUAUUGGACAAUGGGCGAAAGCCUAAUCCAGCAAUGCCGCGUGAGUGAUGAAGGCCUUAGGGUUGUAAAGCUCUUUUACCCGGGAUGAUAAUGACAGUACCGGGAGAAUAAGCUCCGGCUAACUCCGUG
This 433-nucleotide ribosomal RNA is filed under the name uncultured bacterium. RNAcentral's name for it is "partial 16S ribosomal RNA". It matches the Rfam family "Bacterial small subunit ribosomal RNA", at positions 29 to 507 of the family's 1533-position model. The record is from RNAcentral.